Equus caballus (horse) is the source of this 2793-nucleotide non-coding RNA. Lineage: Eukaryota; Metazoa; Chordata; Mammalia; Perissodactyla; Equidae. The record is from RefSeq and is a predicted model, not a curated record.
GCUGAGGAAGAUUGGCCCUGAGCUAACUACUCCCAAUCCUCCUCUUUUCGCUGAGGCAGGUGGGUGGGGCGAAGCUACCCAAACCCCGGAAGUUGCUGCUGCUCCAGCCGCGCUGGGGACCGCGUCUCCCCGCGGUUAGAGGCUCCACGUGGCUCUGCUGCCUGUUCUGUCGAGUUGUGACCUGUAGCGACCUCGGGAGUCCUAGGAAGGACACCGGGGGACCCAGGAAACCUAGAAAGAAUGCAAUACAUGCCUGUGGGGUUUCUUGUUGAGUCAGCAAAGUGGCGUACAGUUUUCUUCCCUCAUUUCCACAUAAAGACUGGUUUGAAUCCUUUAGCUGGAUUGUUCAAAGACCAGGUUUGGCUAAGUCUGCUCUGUCCAGUCCUGUGUCCACAGCCUCUCAGCUGCACUUGGCCUUCCCCUCUGAAGGGACAUGAUGCCCCUUUACUGGGUUCUCCUCGUGGAUCUUCCCCAGCUGUGCCCUCCCACAGUCAUGGCAGGCGGGGUCUGAACUGCGCCCUGGUGUCUCCAAGAACACAGGUACAAUGUUACAUUAAUAACAUCUCCUCUGAGGACAUUUAGGACAUACAAAUAUUUUAAAAGGGAGCUCACAAAAAGUGGAUGGGAUAUUCCCACUCAUAUGAGGUGACACCCUGACAACUUUGUUAAAUUUCUGGAAAUUAUUUAAUAAUCUGAAUUCUGAUCCUUCUCUGAUGCCUUGAAGAAAAAGCUAUUGUUUCGCUAUUGUUACUUGGAUAUUUGCCUCCCCCUCUAAAUGGGCACUCCUACCACAAAAGUCUGGAGAAUCUCUUCAGAUUGUCGUACAACCAAAAUCCCUGUUAGUGCUCUCAGAGGCUCCUUCACUAUAGAGGCCUCAGUGACCUUCUGUCAUCCUCCUGGGGUACCCAUGAUGGCCUUUAGUUGUCCAUAGGCUUCUGAUGCAAGAACCUGCCCUAGGCCCCACACUAUAUGCCGUUAGAGCUGCAAUGACCUCUACUUACGGGGCUCUCCUGACAGUAGAUGGCCCUGCACAUGGGACCAUCUAUCCAGCAGUCCAUUUUGACUUGGGACCUGGAAACAGCACUCUAAGAGCUCGGCACGGUUACUGAGACCCCCUGGAGACAUGAUGGAGCCCGACCUGGGCACUCUGGGAUAUCCUACCUGCAGGAGGGGGUGGUCUUCCCUGUCCUCAGUCUCCUGCCAGGUGCCAUGUGUUGAAACAGGUCACCCCUUUCCCAGACCCACAGGUUCCAUGUGAAACUCCUUUGGACUCCCUGAGUGAAAAGCAAUGGGAGUCCAUAGAUUUUAGGGACAACAUCACCUCAUUUGUACAUGAUGGAGCUCAGGCAGAGUUGUUGUUUUUCAUGUCUUAGUUGUGACAUCUCUCAUAAAAGGCCCAGACCCAAGGGUCAUCACACUGACCGUACAUCAAACAGUCAUCUUAGCACUGACCAACAAUUGGCUCCAGCUGCAGACAUUGCAGACUAUGGGCAAUUCCCUGAGAGUUGCCCCUUUGUGGUAAAAGGACUCUGGGAAUCUCUUGCUUCACAAUUACCUUCAAUAUAAAUCAAAAUAAAACUUGUCUCUAUACAUAUAAAGGUCACACACAAAGCCUCACCGGGACACUCUUUAUCCACGUGGGAGUUCCAGACACUACUGAUAAUAACAAAGGCAUUCAUUUCACUUCUCAGAAUAUACGGUGCUGGGCUCUUAACAAGGUAUUCAAUGGAAGUUUCUCCUCUCUUCCAAGUCUCGGGGUGCAGGCCUCAUAGAGCACCAUUAUGGCUUAUUGAAAUAAGGUCAAGUUAGUUGAAUGGAAGAUGGUCUGUUUCUGUCAUCAGCCAGUCAUUGGGGGUGAAUAUUAAUGUGUCUGUCCAUCUUUUUGUUCCUAGUAGACUUCAUUUUUCUUAAGAGUAGUUUUAAGUUUAUAGAAAACUUGAUUGGAAAGUACAGAUUUCCCACAUAACCCCUCUGCCUCCACACAGUUUGCCCUAUAUUUUAUAUCCUGUGUUACUGGGUUCAUUUGUUACAUUUGAUGAGCCAAUUUGAUAUAUGAAAGUUCAUAGUUUACAUUAGUGUUGACUAUGUUAUGCAAUCUCUGGGCUUUGGCCAAGGUGAAAUGACAUGUCUCCAUCAUUUCUGUAUCAUAUGGAACAUUUUCACUGUCCUAGAAAUCUCCUGUGCUCCAUCUAUUCAUUCUUCCCUCUCUCCCACCCCCAGGUCCCUGGUAACCAAUGAUCUUUCAGUGUCUUAUACUUCUAUCUUUUCCAGAAUGUCACUUGCUUGGAAUCACACAGUGUACAGCCUUGUCAUAUUGGCUUCUUUUACUUAGCAAUAUGAUUUUAAAGUUUCUCCAUGUGAUUUUGGCUUGGUAACUCCAUUUCUAUUCAUCACUGAAGUAUGGACAUACCAUGUUUGUUGAUCCCUUUUCCUAUUGAAAUUAUCUUGGUUACAUCUAGGUCUUGACAUUUAUGCAUAAAGCUCCUAUAAAUAUUCAUGUGCAGAUAUUUUGUGAACAUCUGUUUUCAGCUCAUCUGGAUAAGUUUGAAGAACAUGAUUGCUGCAUCGUAUGGUCAGUGUGGGGUUAGUUUUAAGAAACUACUUUUCUCCCAAAGUAGGCAUUCCAUUCUCCAUUCCCACCAACAAUGAAUGAGGCUCCAUCUUCACUGUUGUUUGGUAUCUUCAGUGUUUUGUUUUGUUUUUUGAGGAAGAUUAGCUCUGAGCUAAUAUCUGCCGCCAGUCCUCCUCGUUUUCCUCAGGAAGACUGGCCCUGAGCUAACAUCCGUGCCCAUC